This 85-nucleotide small RNA is filed under the name Chelonoidis abingdonii (Abingdon island giant tortoise). RNAcentral's name for it is "TUC338 (ENSCABG00000018246.1)". Lineage: Eukaryota; Metazoa; Chordata; Testudines; Testudinidae. The record is from RNAcentral.
ACAGGAUGGCAGAAGCAGCAGCAAUGCAGGCUUCACCCUGCUGCCCUGCCAAUGUGCCUCACGCCUGACCUGGAGGAACCUCAGC